AAUAAUUCCAUACAUAUUCCUUUUGGCCAUCCAUGGAUAUUAGAAUGGAACAUUUUCCAUGGUGUUAAAUCCGCGGAAUAUCCAUGGGUUUUCCACGGAAUAAUUCGCUCUUUGCGCGUCCCCACGCGAUUACGUCAGUCUUGUGAAAUUCUUCUCAUAGGAAAGAACGCGAAAAGUGCUGAAUGUAUGCGAUGGAGACGGCACAGGGACCCCACAGUCAGAGAAGACUCGAGGUUUCCGGACAACGUCAAAGUAGGAGAAACAACUAAUGAAAAUAGGAUGCGGAAAAGCGGUUACCGGAGGAUCUACUUAUCCGACAGAGUGUGACUCAUGACAAGCAUUUCUCAAACAUAUCCGGACCGGUGCGAGAAGACAUCAAAGAGCAUCUCGACAUCCGGCGACCACGGUAGCAGUCGUCUAGAAGAGUAGCAGUCCCUGGGAAGCGGCAUAGCAGCCACCAAGGCAACGCGUCAUAAAAAUUUGAUACACAUUUGUAAGCUUGAUAGUUAAUAUUUAAUAAAUACAAAUCCAAAUAUAAAUGAAUCUUUUUUUU
Molecule: long non-coding RNA, 553 nt
Organism: Phlebotomus argentipes
Lineage: Eukaryota; Metazoa; Arthropoda; Insecta; Diptera; Psychodidae
Exons: 4
Source: RefSeq, a predicted model, not a curated record